CGACCUGCACACCCCCAUCUGCCGGUGUGACAAAAUGUACAGCGGUGUGCGCUGUGAACAUGUUAUUUUGGACACCCAACAAUUGUCUAGUCCUGAAGAAGUCAUUGGAAUUAGCUGUGGUGUAGUUUUAUUACUGGGAAUCAUCGUCGGACUGAUGUACUGCUGUUUAAAGAAAAGGUGUCGGAAGUCAUCACCACCCUACAAGAACU
This is a long non-coding RNA of Sinocyclocheilus anshuiensis, 209 nucleotides long. RefSeq lists it as uncharacterized. The record is from RefSeq and is a predicted model, not a curated record. NCBI's taxonomy places the organism in Eukaryota, Metazoa, Chordata, Actinopteri, Cypriniformes, Cyprinidae. The transcript has 3 exons.